ACGGGGGGAAGAACCAACAGGGAUUGCCCUAGUAACGGCGAGUGAAGCGGCAUCAGCUCAAAUUUGAAAUCUGGCUCUUUUAGGGUCCGAGUUGUAAUUUGCAGAGGGCGCUUUGGCGUUGGCAGCGGUCCAAGUUCCUUGGAACAGGACGUCACAGAGGGUGAGAAUCCCGUACGUGGUCGCUGGCCUUCGCCGUGUAAAGCCCCUUCGACGAGUCGAGUUGUUUGGGAAUGCAGCUCUAAAUGGGAGGUAAAUUUCUUCUAAAGCUAAAUACUGGCCAGAGACCGAUAGCGCACAAGUAGAGUGAUCGAAAGAUGAAAAGCACUUUGGAAAGAGAGUCAAAUAGCACGUGAAAUUGUUGAAAGGGAAGCGCUUGCAGCCAGACUUGCCUGUAGUUGCUCAUCCGGGCUUUUGCCCGGUGCACUCUUCUGCGGGCAGGCCAGCAUCAGUCUGGACGGUUGGAUAAAGGCCUCUGUCAUGUACCUCCUUUCGGGGAGGCCUUAUAGGGGAGGCGCCAUGCAGCCAGUCUGGACUGAGGUCCGCGCAUCUGCUAGGAUGCUGGCGUAAUGGCUGUAAGCGGCCCGUCUUGAAACACGGACCAAGGAGUCUAACAUCUAUGCGAGUGUUUGGGUGUCAAGCCCGAACGCGUAAUGAAAGUGAACGGAGGUGGGAUCCCUUUAGGGUGCACCAUCGACCGAUCCUGAUGUCUUCGGAUGGAUUUGAGUAAGAGCAUGGCUGUUGGGACCCGAAAGAUGGUGAACUAUGCUUGAAUAGGGUGAAGCCAGAGGAAACUCUGGUGGAGGCUCGCAGCGGUUCUGACGUGCAAAUCGAUCGUCAAAUUUGGGCAUAGGGGCGAAAGACUAAUCGAACUAUCUAGUAGCUGGUUCCUGCCGAGUCUCUCCCCUCAGGAACAAAA
This 916-nucleotide ribosomal RNA is filed under the name Parafenestella changchunensis. RNAcentral's name for it is "Parafenestella sp. CP-2021a partial large subunit ribosomal RNA". It matches the Rfam family "Eukaryotic large subunit ribosomal RNA", at positions 50 to 986 of the family's 3401-position model. Lineage: Eukaryota; Fungi; Ascomycota; Dothideomycetes; Pleosporales; Cucurbitariaceae. The record is from RNAcentral.